UUUUUUAUUUAUGUUUUAAAUUCACCCUAUUUUGAAAAAUUGCGCCGGAAACGGGAACGCAAAGGGUAUAAUUAAAUACUGCAAAGUGUAUUUUAUUUUGUAAAAAAUUAUUGGGGGUGCCAUUUCAAUAUCGCGAUUUAAAUUUGCAGUUGCCCUGCGGCCCACAAGAACAAAAUGUGACCCUAGUCACGUGAUUCUCGUUGACCUAAGCAGAAGGCAAGGUCACUGAUAAGACCACCCCCCUAUGGCUGAAGCGGUGCUAUCGGUGCAGCACCGGUUCUAGCGCCGUACCGCACCGGAAAAAAAUCCCCGCACAGAACGUCCCUGAUUCAUUUUUAUUGGUGAGUUUGCGGUGUCCCCGAUUACAAUGUGAUCGGGGCCGAGCCCUAGUUUGUUUUCUUUUCUUUUUCAUCUUGUUCGAUAUCAAAGCCAAUUGGCAACAUUGCCGACUGAAAAUAAGGGUAGGAAGUCUAGGAACUUGGGCAUGGAGCACAUGGGGCGGCUAAGAUAAUACGUUUGUCAUCUUGAAUGGCGGUGCGGAUUUUGAUGAUCCGUCAUCAGGUUUCUCCAUCAUGUGGACCACACAUUUCUUCUUUUCCAGGAGUCACACUAUCGAGCGCUAGAUGGCGUCGUCAUCCCUCUCCUGAUUGGCCCUAAUCGGCACGUGAUCAGAAAGGAUUCUGAUUGGCUUUGGUAGCAAAUCCUCUCGCCUUCAUAGGGAAGAUUGAAGUUUACUGGCCUUAACCAUUUAUGCCACGUUUGGACGAAAAAAGGGCCAAGCAUUUGGGCGCUUUCGACAACGUAGAAUCCGUUGGAUGGAGUUUGAGUUUUAUAUUUACUUUCCAGAAACCAAGUUUGAAUGCUUUAACGUUGAGCAAUUGGUAUUUGAUUCUCCCACGUUAGGUUGUAUUCAAAUUUAUUUCAGCCUUUUCCUCAGGUCAUAUUUUCUGGUUACAAAAUUGUGUUUCUGUGGCAAAUUUGUGAACGAAUUGCGUUAGAUAACCGUUCGCGAGGUCUUUCCACUUGCUUUCCAGGUAGGACCUUGCAGCCAACCUGGUACAUGCCACAGACUUACCAUCUUUUGUUAUUGUUUCCUGUCUGUUAUCUGAUGGUGGAAUGAUUCCGAUUUUGAGGGGACAAAGCUAAUUGCGUUGCUGCAUUAUUUAGCCUCCUAGUGCAAUGCAUUGGAAUUGCAGCAAGUGUUCUGCUAUUUUUUUCUAAUUGGUUUUAAGCAACACCAUAUUGUCCAGUGUCCUUAAUCGGGUUCUGGCUAAUAGGUUUUGGUACAACAAGUCAUGGUUUUGGUAUCACAUAAUCCUUUUAUUAUACUUAUGUGGUAAUCCCAGUAUAGUGAGAAUUAAGUUGUAUAUUUUUGUCUUUUCCAUUGACUAGUAGCAAUUUUGGGAUCAACUUUAUUCUUUUACUGUUUGCAUAGUUCUUUGACAAGUCCAAGGAUUCCUACUCUUCAAAGAUUCUUUUUAACAGCUUAAACAAAGCUGAAAUAACAGACAAAUUAUUAUUUGCUUACGUGGAUCAGUUAUGGUCAGUAUUCCUUUCCAUUGUUGGAUUCACGUUUACUGUGCACUUCACUACCUUGUUUUAUUGUUCGGGCUCGCUUAUUCCGCAAUAACAGUUGAAAUGAUGAUUGAAACGGAGAUCUCUAAGCAGCAACUCCUGGUCUCGUAUGAAUUAAAAGGUAUAUAUUUUAAGAAA
This 1713-nucleotide long non-coding RNA is filed under the name Daphnia magna. Its description in RNAcentral is "uncharacterized LOC123470985, transcript variant X2". Lineage: Eukaryota; Metazoa; Arthropoda; Branchiopoda; Diplostraca; Daphniidae. The record is from RNAcentral.